AUGGAAACCUUUGGAAAAGUGUGCUCCAUAAUUCAAUGAUUUUUGUUGUGAUUUGCUGAAGCAUUCUUAAAGGCCAACUGAUAAAAGGUCGGUGCUAGAAGAAAGAAAGAAGAUUUUGACAAUCAAAGGUUGACCAUUUUCCAUGGUUUUAUGCUUGAAGGAAUAUUCAUCUUGCUUUCAGUGCUGAAGAACAAAAACACCUCACAGGUAACAGACGCAUCACUGAGGACACUCAGAAAAGCCUGAUUGACUUUCAAGGAAGGGACAAAGAUUUGAGGAAGAAAGUCGAUCCUCUGUACCUUCUUCACAUCUUCAUGCAAUUACGGAGUGUUUGAAGACAAAG
Chiloscyllium plagiosum (whitespotted bambooshark) is the source of this 343-nucleotide non-coding RNA. The record is from RefSeq and is a predicted model, not a curated record. Lineage: Eukaryota; Metazoa; Chordata; Chondrichthyes; Orectolobiformes; Hemiscylliidae.